GACGAACGCUGGCGGUGUGCUUAACACAUGCAAGUCGAACGGUAAGGCCCUUUCGGGGGUACACGAGUGGCGAACGGGUGAGUAACACGUGAGUAACCUGCCCUCAUCUCUGGGAUAACAGUCGGAAACGGUUGCUAAUACUGGAUAUGAGCUUGCAAGGCAUCUUGUGGGUUGGAAAGAUUUUUUUUGGUUGGGGAUGGACUCGCGGCCUAUCAGCUUGUUGGUGAGGUAGUGGCUCACCAAGGCUUCGACGGGUAGCCGGCCUGAGAGGGCGACCGGCCACAUUGGGACUGAGAUACGGCCCAAACUCCUACGGGAGGCAGCAGUGGGGAAGAUUGCACAAUGGACGGAAGUCUGAUGCAGCAACGCCGCGUGCGGGAUGACGGCCUUCGGGUUGUAAACCGCUUUCAAUUGUGACGAAGCUUUUUUGUGACGGUAGCAGUAGAAGAAGCACCGGCUAACUACGUG
Molecule: ribosomal RNA, 468 nt
Filed under: uncultured bacterium
Lineage: Bacteria
Description: partial 16S ribosomal RNA
Rfam family: Bacterial small subunit ribosomal RNA
Source: RNAcentral